This 468-nucleotide ribosomal RNA is filed under the name uncultured bacterium. RNAcentral's name for it is "partial 16S ribosomal RNA". It matches the Rfam family "Bacterial small subunit ribosomal RNA", at positions 28 to 507 of the family's 1533-position model. The record is from RNAcentral.
GACGAACGCUGGCGGCGUGCUUAACACAUGCCAGUCGAACGGAAAGGCCCUGCUUUUUUGUGGUUCUCGAGUGGCGAACGGGUGAGUAACACGUGAGUAACCUGCCCUUGACUUUGUGAUAACUUCAGGAAACUGGGGCUAAUACCGGAUAGGAGCUCCUGCUGCAUGGUGGGGGUUGGAAAGUUUCGGCGGUUGGGGAUGGACUCGCGGCUUAUCAGCUUGUUGGUGGGGUAGUGGCUUACCAAGGCUUUGACGGGUAGCCGGCCUGAGAGGGUGACCGGCCACCUUGGGACUGCGAUACGGCGCAGACGCCUACGGGAGGCAGCAGUGGGGAAUAUUGCACAAUGGGCGGAAGUCUGAUGCAGAAACGCUGCGUGCGGGAUGACGGCCUUCGGGUUGUAAACCGCUUUCGCCUGUGACGAAGCGUGAGUGACGGUAAUGGGUAAAGAAGCACCGGCUAACUACGUG